ACAACACCUAGGAGGAUCCUGAGUACGGCGGAACACGAGAAAUUCCGUCGGAAUCCGCGGGGACCAUCCCGCAAGGCUAAAUACUCCCUAGUGACCGAUAGUGAACCAGUACCGUGAGGGAAAGGUGAAAAGCACCCCGGAAGGGGAGUGAAAUAGAUCCUGAAACCGUGUGCCUACAACAAGUCAAAGCUCGUUAAUGAGUGAUGGCGUGCCUUUUGUAGAAUGAACCGGCGAGUUACGAUUGCAUGCGAGGUUAAGUCGAAGAGACGGAGCCGCAGCGAAAGCGAGUCUGAAUAGGGCGAAUGAGUAUGUAGUCGUAGACCCGAAACCAUGUGAUCUACCCAUGUCCAGGUUGAAGGUGCGGUAAAACGCACUGGAGGACCGAACCCACGUACGUUGAAAAGUGCGGGGAUGAGGUGUGGGUAGCGGAGAAAUUCCAAACGAACUUGGAGAUAGCUGGUUCUCUCCGAAAUAGCUUUAGGGCUAGCCUCGGAAUUGAGAAUGAUGGAGGUAGAGCACUGUUUGGACUAGGGGCCCAUCUCGGGUUACCGAAUUCAGAUAAACUCCGAAUGCCAUUCAUUUAUAUCCGGGAGUCAGACUGCGAGUGAUAAGAUCCGUAGUCGAAAGGGAAACAGCCCAGACCACCAGCUAAGGUCCCAAAAUAUAUGUUAAGUGGAAAAGGAUGUGGGGUUGCACAGACAACUAGGAUGUUGGCUUAGAAGCAGCCACCAUUUAAAGAGUGCGUAAUAGCUCACUAGUCGAGUGACCCUGCGCCGAAAAUGUACCGGGGCUAAACAUAUUACCGAAGCUGUGGACUACACCAUUAGGUGUAGUGGUAGGAGAGCGUUCUAAGGGCGUUGAAGGUCGAUCGUGAGGACGGCUGGAGCGCUUAGAAGUGAGAAUGCCGGUAUGAGUAGCGAAAGACAGGUGAGAAUCCUGUCCACCGUAUGACUAAGGUUUCCUGGGGAAGGCUCGUCCGCCCAGGGUUAGUCGGGACCUAAGCCGAGGCCGAUAGGCGUAGGCGAUGGACAACAGGUUGAUAUUCCUGUACCAGUUGUUUUUGUUUGAGCAAUGGAGGGACGCAGUAGGCUAAGGAAUGCAUGCGAUUGGAAGUGCAUGUCCAAGCAAUGAGUCUUGAG
Molecule: ribosomal RNA, 1139 nt
Filed under: Enterococcus faecalis
Lineage: Bacteria; Bacillati; Bacillota; Bacilli; Lactobacillales; Enterococcaceae
Description: partial 23S ribosomal RNA
Rfam family: Bacterial large subunit ribosomal RNA
Source: RNAcentral